Molecule: long non-coding RNA, 214 nt
Organism: Salarias fasciatus (jewelled blenny)
Lineage: Eukaryota; Metazoa; Chordata; Actinopteri; Blenniiformes; Blenniidae
Exons: 3
Source: RefSeq, a predicted model, not a curated record
CCGGCGGCAGAAGAAGGAGGUGAAGGAGCAGCACGUGAAGGAGGUGCUCGGCCAGUGCACCCACAUCCACCAGAGGCGCGAGGAGAUGGCCGACAAGAUCCAGAAGAUCUCCGGCCAGACGCAGCAGCUGAGGGCCGAGAUCAAGAGCCUGAGGGACGUCUGCGGCGAGGAGACGGAGAAAGCCCAGGCCAUCUACAACACCCUGUCCGCUGCC